GGUCGGGGGUGCUAGCUGGUGAGAGGGGUUAGAGGUGCUGGACGGAGGUGACGGCGUAGACGCGGUUCGGGGCGGCGGGUGGUGGUGGAUGGGCCGUUGGCCGCUGGUCCCCCUGCCUGGGUUGGUGGCGUGGGGUGGUGGUGGUAGAGGGAGCGCGGUGGUCGGAGGGGACGGGGCGGAAGGAUAGAGCUAGCGGCGGCGGCGCCGUGUCCGGGGGGGCUGGUCGGUUGAUGGAGGCCGCCGGUUCCGGCGGGUCGGUUGAUGGAGGCCGCCGGUUCCGGCGGGUCGUUGUUGGUCUAGGCCACCCUAGGCUGAGGUGGAGGGGAUCAGAGGGGGAGGGGUUGGCGGGUCAGUGGCCGGUUCCGCGUGGCUCCGUGGCGGGAGGGAGGGCCGAUCGACGCGACGGCUCGGCGAAGAGCGCUGCGGAGGGGAGGGGCGCGCGCUCCAGGACGCGAGACUUGCCUCCGCACCUGUGGGCGCCGCCGCGGCACAUAGAGGGUGCUGUUCCGGGGGAGGGGUGGGGGUUCCGUCGUUAGCCGAGGUGCGGUGACUGGGAGGGGAGAAGAGGAGACGGAGCCAGUGUAACUCCCGACUGCCCACGUAGAUCGAGGCGACGAACGGCCGCAGAUGUUGGGCACGUCACUGUUCAACUUUUUGCCUUCCUCCUCGUGGAGGAGUUCGGAGGCAAUUCUCGCGUCCUGGACGCCCUGUCGGGAGGGAAAGGUUCGUGCGCCGACUCGGUCCAACCAACAAAUCUCCAAAAUGUUCAACAAACUUCAAGUCAAGCCGGCGCUGUCUCGAGGGGCAGCACAUCAGGUGAAGUGUGGGUGGCCGCACAAGAGGGAAGGAGGAGACGCACUGGGUAGUACGACAGGUGUAACGGUGCGAGGACCCCAAAGUCCCGACGUGGCUGCUGUAUUGCCGCUCGCCCUCUCUUCCUCGUACACGCGCACGUCACGCCAAGCGGAGCAGGCAGGUCAAGGGGUUAUGUUCCGACGUCAAAAGGAAAAGGGGCUACUACUUCUGUCAGUCUAAACAACGUAGAACACGUAUAACGUCCUAAAACUUUUUUCGUUACACUUCCAAAGUAGUUCUAGAGCGCGUUAGGUAGAGUGUCGGAUCGAGACGUAGCUGCGGAUCCGUUAAAGACAAAGACACUGAACGCUACAACCACCAUUAAACUACUUCGUAGUUCGGCCAUUAAACUACUUCGUAGUUCGGUGCGUCCGCAGCUACAACCACCUGAACGCUACGUCUCGUCAAAGACACUAGCAACAGCACAUUGGGUAACGACGAUCGGACACCAAGCAACAUACACCCACACGCGAAGUCGGAGGCACCCACACGCCCACCCUCUGGUUAAUGACGACGAGUCAAACAACACAUCUCUUCUUUUGACUUCACGUGAUGUUAUGUCAAAGAAAAACAUUUUACGUCUGUAAUGGAAAACGAAAACAAAAACCUGAGUGCAUGAGUAUGUCUACCAAGCGAUCGAACAAGGACGGUAUCACCAAGUGAACAAGCUUCAAGAAACAGUAUGCAUCAUUUUCCUGUUCUUGUUUUUAUCACUUCUUAUUUGAUUAAACAUCAACUAGCUGUUGGUGUUUUUGCCACUUCUUAUUUG
Molecule: ribosomal RNA, 1624 nt
Filed under: Triticum aestivum (bread wheat)
Lineage: Eukaryota; Viridiplantae; Streptophyta; Magnoliopsida; Poales; Poaceae
Description: partial small subunit ribosomal RNA
Source: RNAcentral